This 460-nucleotide ribosomal RNA is filed under the name uncultured bacterium. RNAcentral's name for it is "partial 16S ribosomal RNA". It matches the Rfam family "Bacterial small subunit ribosomal RNA", at positions 338 to 795 of the family's 1533-position model. The record is from RNAcentral.
CCUACGGGCGGCAGCAGUGAGGAAUAUUGGUCAAUGGGCGGAAGCCUGAACCAGCCAAGUAGCGUGCAGGAUGACGGCCCUACGGGUUGUAAACUGCUUUUAUACGGGAAUAACGCGCCUUACGUGUAGGGCUUUGCAUGUACCGUAUGUAUAAGGACCGGCUAAUUCCGUGCCAGCAGCCGCGGUAAUACGGAGGGUCCGGGCGUUAUCCGGAUUUAUUGGGUUUAAAGGGAGCGUAGGCGGCAUGUCAAGCGUGCUGUGAAAUGUCCGGGCUCAACCCGGGCCUUGCAGCGCGAACUGGCGGGCUGGAGUGCGCGGAAAGCAGGCGGAAUUCGUCGUGUAGCGGUGAAAUGCUUAGAUAUGACGAAGAACCCCGAUUGCGAAGGCAGCUUGCUGCAGCGGAACUGACGCUGAUGCUCGAAAGCGCGGGUAGCGAACAGGAUUAGAUACCCUAGUAGUC